UGCACAAUCCCUAGGGACCAAGGCCAUAGCCUCUCUCCCAAAGAAGGCUACUCUGCGGAAAAUACCUGAAGCUCUGCAAUCCCGUCCCCCGGAGUCACCUAUGUGAUAAAUUCAAAGGAAGACACAACAAGCUGGCCUAAGUAAAGAAACAGCUGGAAUCCAGACAAGACUAAACAGUGUGAUAUGGGGAAAAAACGUUCAAAAUAGGUCAAGCAGCAGAGACAACGCCCAACAUCAACAACACAUUUGGCCCAGGAACUGUAAAUGAACAUACAGUGCAGUGGUGAUUCAAAAGUUUCACAAAGGAGACAAGAGCCUUGAAGAUAAGGAGUGCA
This is a long non-coding RNA of Bubalus bubalis (water buffalo), 335 nucleotides long. RefSeq lists it as uncharacterized. The record is from RefSeq and is a predicted model, not a curated record. The transcript is spliced from 3 exons. Lineage: Eukaryota; Metazoa; Chordata; Mammalia; Artiodactyla; Bovidae.